Long non-coding RNA from Micropterus dolomieu (smallmouth bass), 1065 nucleotides. RefSeq lists it as uncharacterized. The transcript is spliced from 4 exons. The record is from RefSeq and is a predicted model, not a curated record. NCBI's taxonomy places the organism in Eukaryota, Metazoa, Chordata, Actinopteri, Centrarchiformes, Centrarchidae.
UCCUCUGCUUCACGGAAACUAACGUUAAUGAUACAGCUUUCGAAUAGUUCAAAGUUCAAACUUUAUUUAAAAAAAAAAUAAAAAUACACAAUUUCUGGUAACACAUGCAUGCCGAAUAUAAGCGACGAAUCUAAAGAUGUGUAUACAGCCGUAAAUUAAUCAUAUUGUGACAGGUCUUACCUGUAACUUUGCCCGGGAGGACCCCAACAACAGAUAAGAAACAGAAGAAGACACCUGCUACCUUCUUCUUCUUCUUCUUCUUCUUCUUCUUCGUCUUCUUCGUCUUCUUCUUCUUAGUCAGCCAAGUUGCUACAUUAGCGCCCUCUCGUGUGCGGUCAACAAGCCAUUGAGUGAGUCGACCAGAUUCCAGAGACCAGAGUCGACUCGCAAUUUGGUCAUUUGGGGCCGUUGCUGUCGAGAGGAAAUCCUGCGGGAAAUAUUUGGCUAUUUGCCGCUAAAUGCUCAGCGUACUCCUGGCAACUCCAAUGUAACCCAUCCACAUCAGUAUCAUCUGUUACCAUUACUGGAUUGAGAGUUUAGGAUGUCCUGCUCUUCACAGUGCUGCAGAAUCCCAGAGGAGGCUCCAGCACAAAGUUACACAACUGGCCUCUCUGUCUGCCGUGCUACAUUAAUCUUCCCCUGGUUGCAGAAAUCUCCCUUUAACAUCUUCCUCAUGGGUGUCCGCUGUGUGUGUGUGUGUGUGUGUGUGUGUGUAUGUGUUUGUGCAUGCAUGUGUGGGUGGACAGGGUAAUUGGUCCAGUGAAUGUGCCCAGGUCUGCUCAGGCCAAACGCUGCUGCAGUGUACAUACAGUGUAUUUGCUGUGCUGAGCUGUGGGGGUGUGGGAAAGCGAUCAGAGUGGACUUUAGAGGAAACUGUGGAAGAAUGAGGAAAUUGCAGACAGAUAGGACUAAUGGUUGCGCUGAGGGAAGAGGUUGUAGGGCCAACAGCUGCUAGCCAUCCAUCUGGACCAGCCCUGAGUGCUGGACGAGACCACUCCGCAGUGACGUAUUCACCUUCUGGGGACGGGUGCACUGGGACUUUCCAUCAGAGCAGGCUACAUAAGU